CCCAUGGCUCAGAUUGAACGCUGGCGGCAGGCCUAACACAUGCAAGUCGAGCGGAUGAAGAGAGCUUGCUCUCUGAUUCAGCGGCGGACGGGUGAGUAAUGCCUAGGAAUCUGCCUGGUAGUGGGGGACAACGUUUCGAAAGGAACGCUAAUACCGCAUACGUCCUACGGGAGAAAGCAGGGGACCUUCGGGCCUUGCGCUAUCAGAUGAGCCUAGGUCGGAUUAGCUAGUUGGUGAGGUAAUGGCUCACCAAGGCGACGAUCCGUAACUGGUCUGAGAGGAUGAUCAGUCACACUGGAACUGAGACACGGUCCAGACUCCUACGGGAGGCAGCAGUGGGGAAUAUUGGACAAUGGGCGAAAGCCUGAUCCAGCCAUGCCGCGUGUGUGAAGAAGGUCUUCGGAUUGUAAAGCACUUUAAGUUGGGAGGAAGGGCAGUAAAUUAAUACUUUGCUGUUUUGACGUUACCGACAGAAUAAGCACCGGCUA
This 488-nucleotide ribosomal RNA is filed under the name Pseudomonas sp. CL1.131. RNAcentral's name for it is "bacterial SSU rRNA". It matches the Rfam family "Bacterial small subunit ribosomal RNA", at positions 16 to 499 of the family's 1533-position model. The record is from RNAcentral. Lineage: Bacteria; Pseudomonadati; Pseudomonadota; Gammaproteobacteria; Pseudomonadales; Pseudomonadaceae.